GCGGCGGACGGGUGAGUAACGCGUGGGUAAUCUACCUCGUAGUUCGGGAUAACAGGCCGAAAGGCUUGCUAAUACCGGAUGAGUUCAUGCUUAUGCAUAUAGGCAUGAAGAAAGGGCUAGCCCGCUAUGAGAUGAGCCCGCGUCCCAUUAGCUUGUUGGUGGGGUAAUGGCCUACCAAGGCAACGAUGGGUAGCCGGCCUGAGAGGGUGUACGGCCACACUGGGACUGAGACACGGCCCAGACUCCUACGGGGGGCAGCAGUAGGGAAUUUUCGGCAAUGGGCGAAAGCCUGACCGAGCGACGCCGCGUGAGGGACGAAGGCCUUCGGGUUGUAAACCUCUGUCUGGGGGGAUGAGAACGGACGGUACCCCCGGAGGAAGCCCCGGCUAACUACGUGCCAGCAGCCGCGGUAAUACGUAGGGGGCUAGCGUUGUCCGGAAUUACUGGGCGUAAAGGGCGUGUAGGCGGUCGUGCAAGUCGGUUGUGAAAGUCUAGG
Molecule: ribosomal RNA, 496 nt
Filed under: uncultured bacterium
Lineage: Bacteria
Description: bacterial SSU rRNA
Rfam family: Bacterial small subunit ribosomal RNA
Source: RNAcentral